This 31-nucleotide non-coding RNA is filed under the name Homo sapiens (human). The record is from RNAcentral. Lineage: Eukaryota; Metazoa; Chordata; Mammalia; Primates; Hominidae.
UGCAACCAAUCAGACAUUUGCACAGGAAUGU